Molecule: unclassified non-coding RNA, 223 nt
Filed under: Hevea brasiliensis (rubber tree)
Lineage: Eukaryota; Viridiplantae; Streptophyta; Magnoliopsida; Malpighiales; Euphorbiaceae
Source: RNAcentral
AGACUUGUCGUCUGUUUUAAAUUGGACAGUCUAAUAAUCUUCUUGAAUUAGAUCGCAGGAUAAAAUCAGGGUCAUUCAACUUCAAUUUGUUUCCAUAUAAUUUAAUGAGGGAAACUUGGGCUUACUGGCUUAGGGUUGUGAAUUUUGAUGAUAAUUCAGUUGGUUGAUCCUGAACUUGGUGUUGCAACUAGGAUCUUGUGUUGACAUUCGAUUAACAGUAAAG